RNAcentral lists this ribosomal RNA (418 nucleotides) under uncultured bacterium. RNAcentral describes it as "bacterial SSU rRNA". It matches the Rfam family "Bacterial small subunit ribosomal RNA", at positions 9 to 413 of the family's 1533-position model. The record is from RNAcentral.
GAGUUUGAUCAUGGCUCAGAAUGAACGCUGGCGGCGUGCUUAACACAUGCAAGUCGAGCGAGGCCAGGGGGGCAACUCCCUGAGUCGAGCGGCGGACGGGUGAGUAACACGUGGGUAACCUACCCGGAAGUGGGGAAUACCUCGGGGAAACUCGAGCUAAUACCGCAUAACAUCUUUGGGACGAAAGUUCCGACGAUCAAAGCGGGGUCGCAAGAUCUCGCGCUACCGGAUGGGCCCGCGCCCGAUUAGCUAGUUGGUGAGGUAACGGCUCACCAAGGCGACGAUCGGUAACCGGCCUGAGAGGGCGAUCGGUCACACCGGAACUGAGACACGGUCCGGACUCCUACGGGAGGCAGCAGUGGGGAAUCUUGCGCAAUGGGCGAGAGCCUGACGCAGCAACGCCGCGUGGAGGAUGAAG